RNAcentral lists this ribosomal RNA (527 nucleotides) under Ilyonectria sp. 1-NN-2017. RNAcentral describes it as "eukaryotic LSU rRNA". The stretch from base 204 to 357 matches the Rfam family "5.8S ribosomal RNA". Lineage: Eukaryota; Fungi; Ascomycota; Sordariomycetes; Hypocreales; Nectriaceae. The record is from RNAcentral.
UCUUGGUCAUUUAGAGGAAGUAAAAGUCGUAACAAGGUCUCCGUUGGUGAACCAGCGGAGGGAUCAUUACCGAGUUUACAACUCCCAAACCCCUGUGAACAUACCAUUUGUUGCCUCGGCGGUGCCUGCUUCGGCAGCCCGCCAGAGGACCCAAACCCUUGAUUUUAUACAGUAUCUUCUGAGUAAAUGAUUAAAUAAAUCAAAACUUUCAACAACGGAUCUCUUGGUUCUGGCAUCGAUGAAGAACGCAGCGAAAUGCGAUAAGUAAUGUGAAUUGCAGAAUUCAGUGAAUCAUCGAAUCUUUGAACGCACAUUGCGCCCGCCAGUAUUCUGGCGGGCAUGCCUGUUCGAGCGUCAUUUCAACCCUCAAGCCCCCGGGCUUGGUGUUGGAGAUCGGCGUGCCCUCCGGGGCGCGCCGGCUCCCAAAUAUAGUGGCGGUCUCGCUGUAGCUUCCUCUGCGUAGUAGCACACCUCGCACUGGGAAACAGCGUGGCCACGCCGUUAAACCCCCCACUCUGAAAGGUGAC